AAUGGCCGCAGUAUUUUGACUGUGCAAAGGUAGCAUAAUCAUUAGUUUCUUAAUUAGAAACUGGAAUGAAUGGUUGGACGAGAAAAUAUCUGUCUCUUUUUUAAUUUAUUAGAAUUUUAUUUUUAAGUUAAAAAGCUUAAAUUUAUUUAAAAGACGAGAAGACCCUAUAGAAUUUUAUAUAUUUAAAUUUAAAUAGUUUUAUUAGUAUUUUUAAAAUUUUAGGUUAAAUAUAUUUAGUUGGGGUGAUUAAAAAAUUUAAUAAACUUUUUUUAUAUAAAUACAUUAAUUUAUGAGUUUUUGAUCCAUAUGAAUGAUUAAAAGAUUAAAUUACCUUAGGGAUAACAGCGUUAUUUCUUUGAAGAGUUCAAAUCGAUAAAGAAGUUUGCGACCUCGAUGUUGGAUUAAAAUUUAUUUUUGGUGUAGAAGCUGAAAAAUUGGGUCUGUUCGACCUUUAAAAUUUUACAUGAUCUGAGUUUAAACCGGUGUAAGCCAGGUUGGUUUCUAUCUUUAAAUAAUUAAUAUAUUUUAGUACGAAAGGACCAAAUAUAUGUAAUAGUUAUAAAUAUUUGAAUAUUAUUAAAGAUUUU
RNAcentral lists this ribosomal RNA (587 nucleotides) under Tarphiota geniculata. Its description in RNAcentral is "partial 16S ribosomal RNA". It matches the Rfam family "Bacterial large subunit ribosomal RNA", at positions 1926 to 2739 of the family's 2925-position model. The record is from RNAcentral. Lineage: Eukaryota; Metazoa; Arthropoda; Insecta; Coleoptera; Staphylinidae.